Molecule: long non-coding RNA, 304 nt
Organism: Dermacentor andersoni
Lineage: Eukaryota; Metazoa; Arthropoda; Arachnida; Ixodida; Ixodidae
Source: RefSeq, a predicted model, not a curated record
CAAAGGCCAGCCGAGGGAGAUCGUGUCAGCCAUCUCGCGUAGCCACGAAAACACGACAGUCGUUCGUCAUGCCUUGGAUAUAACAACAAAUCCUCCACGGCACCCGCUUUAUAUAACGCAAGAAGGCAGCUGCAAGGACACGAGGAUGUGAAAGAGCCAGUGCAGCGCGACUUCACGUAGUGCAGAGGAGCCAAUGCCAAAAAAUCAAAAUACAUUGGCAUGUUAUUUGGACAAGAAAACUAGGACAACCCAGGACGUGCAUUUCUCAGCACCCAGUCAACUGCCAAAAGUGACUCAAACACAG